GGUUAAGCGACUAAGCGUACACGGUGGAUGCCCUGGCAGUCAGAGGCGAUGAAGGACGUGCUAAUCUGCGAUAAGCGUCGGUAAGGUGAUAUGAACCGUUAUAACCGGCGAUUUCCGAAUGGGGAAACCCAGUGUGUUUCGACACACUAUCAUUAACUGAAUCCAUAGGUUAAUGAGGCGAACCGGGGGAACUGAAACAUCUAAGUACCCCGAGGAAAAGAAAUCAACCGAGAUUCCCCCAGUAGCGGCGAGCGAACGGGGAGCAGCCCAGAGCCUGAAUCAGUAUGUGUGUUAGUGGAAGCGUCUGGAAAGGCGCGCGAUACAGGGUGACAGCCCCGUACACAAAAAUGCACAUAUUGUGAGCUCGAUGAGUAGGGCGGGACACGUGGUAUCCUGUCUGAAUAUGGGGGGACCAUCCUCCAAGGCUAAAUACUCCUGACUGACCGAUAGUGAACCAGUACCGUGAGGGAAAGGCGAAAAGAACCCCGGCGAGGGGAGUGAAAAAGAACCUGAAACCGUGUACGUACAAGCAGUGGGAGCACGCUUAGGCGUGUGACUGCGUACCUUUUGUAUAAUGGGUCAGCGACUUAUAUUCUGUAGCAAGGUUAACCGAAUAGGGGAGCCGAAGGGAAACCGAGUCUUAACUGGGCGUUAAGUUGCAGGGUAUAGACCCGAAACCCGGUGAUCUAGCCAUGGGCAGGUUGAAGGUUGGGUAACACUAACUGGAGGACCGAACCGACUAAUGUUGAAAAAUUAGCGGAUGACUUGUGGCUGGGGGUGAAAGGCCAAUCAAACCGGGAGAUAGCUGGUUCUCCCCGAAAGCUAUUUAGGUAGCGCCUCGUGAACUCAUCUCCGGGGGUAGAGCACUGUUUCGGCAAGGGGGUCAUCCCGACUUACCAACCCGAUGCAAACUGCGAAUACCGGAGAAUGUUAUCACGGGAGACACACGGCGGGUGCUAACGUCCGUCGUGAAGAGGGAAACAACCCAGACCGCCAGCUAAGGUCCCAAAGUCAUGGUUAAGUGGGAAACGAUGUGGGAAGGCCCAGACAGCCAGGAUGUUGGCUUAGAAGCAGCCAUCAUUUAAAGAAAGCGUAAUAGCUCACUGGUCGAGUCGGCCUGCGCGGAAGAUGUAACGGGGCUAAACCAUGCACCGAAGCUGCGGCAGCGACACUAUGUGUUGUUGGGUAGGGGAGCGUUCUGUAAGCCUGUGAAGGUGUGCUGUGAGGCAUGCUGGAGGUAUCAGAAGUGCGAAUGCUGACAUAAGUAACGAUAAAGCGGGUGAAAAGCCCGCUCGCCGGAAGACCAAGGGUUCCUGUCCAACGUUAAUCGGGGCAGGGUGAGUCGACCCCUAAGGCGAGGCCGAAAGGCGUAGUCGAUGGGAAACAGGUUAAUAUUCCUGUACUUGGUGUUACUGCGAAGGGGGGACGGAGAAGGCUAUGUUGGCCGGGCGACGGUUGUCCCGGUUUAAGCGUGUAGGCUGGUUUUCCAGGCAAAUCCGGAAAAUCAAGGCUGAGGCGUGAUGACGAGGCACUACGGUGCUGAAGCAACAAAUGCCCUGCUUCCAGGAAAAGCCUCUAAGCAUCAGGUAACAUCAAAUCGUACCCCAAACCGACACAGGUGGUCAGGUAGAGAAUACCAAGGCGCUUGAGAGAACUCGGGUGAAGGAACUAGGCAAAAUGGUGCCGUAACUUCGGGAGAAGGCACGCUGAUAUGUAGGUGAAGUCCCUUGCGGAUGGAGCUGAAAUCAGUCGAAGAUACCAGCUGGCUGCAACUGUUUAUUAAAAACACAGCACUGUGCAAACACGAAAGUGGACGUAUACGGUGUGACGCCUGCCCGGUGCCGGAAGGUUAAUUGAUGGGGUCAGCGCAAGCGAAGCUCUUGAUCGAAGCCCCGGUAAACGGCGGCCGUAACUAUAACGGUCCUAAGGUAGCGAAAUUCCUUGUCGGGUAAGUUCCGACCUGCACGAAUGGCGUAAUGAUGGCCAGGCUGUCUCCACCCGAGACUCAGUGAAAUUGAACUCGCUGUGAAGAUGCAGUGUACCCGCGGCAAGACGGAAAGACCCCGUGAACCUUUACUAUAGCUUGACACUGAACAUUGAGCCUUGAUGUGUAGGAUAGGUGGGAGGCUUUGAAGUGUGGACGCCAGUCUGCAUGGAGCCGACCUUGAAAUACCACCCUUUAAUGUUUGAUGUUCUAACGUUGACCCGUAAUCCGGGUUGCGGACAGUGUCUGGUGGGUAGUUUGACUGGGGCGGUCUCCUCCUAAAGAGUAACGGAGGAGCACGAAGGUUGGCUAAUCCUGGUCGGACAUCAGGAGGUUAGUGCAAUGGCAUAAGCCAGCUUGACUGCGAGCGUGACGGCGCGAGCAGGUGCGAAAGCAGGUCAUAGUGAUCCGGUGGUUCUGAAUGGAAGGGCCAUCGCUCAACGGAUAAAAGGUACUCCGGGGAUAACAGGCUGAUACCGCCCAAGAGUUCAUAUCGACGGCGGUGUUUGGCACCUCGAUGUCGGCUCAUCACAUCCUGGGGCUGAAGUAGGUCCCAAGGGUAUGGCUGUUCGCCAUUUAAAGUGGUACGCGAGCUGGGUUUAGAACGUCGUGAGACAGUUCGGUCCCUAUCUGCCGUGGGCGCUGGAGAACUGAGGGGGGCUGCUCCUAGUACGAGAGGACCGGAGUGGACGCAUCACUGGUGUUCGGGUUGUCAUGCCAAUGGCACUGCCCGGUAGCUAAAUGCGGAAGAGAUAAGUGCUGAAAGCAUCUAAGCACGAAACUUGCCCCGAGAUGAGUUCUCCCUGACCCUUUAAGGGUCCUGAAGGAACGUUGAAGACGACGACGUUGAUAGGCCGGGUGUGUAAGCGCAGCGAUGCGUUGAGCUAACCGGUACUAAUGAACCGUGAGGCUUAACCUU
RNAcentral lists this ribosomal RNA (2903 nucleotides) under Escherichia coli. RNAcentral's name for it is "23S ribosomal RNA". It matches the Rfam family "Bacterial large subunit ribosomal RNA". Lineage: Bacteria; Pseudomonadati; Pseudomonadota; Gammaproteobacteria; Enterobacterales; Enterobacteriaceae. The record is from RNAcentral.